Molecule: unclassified non-coding RNA, 210 nt
Filed under: Hevea brasiliensis (rubber tree)
Lineage: Eukaryota; Viridiplantae; Streptophyta; Magnoliopsida; Malpighiales; Euphorbiaceae
Source: RNAcentral
CUGAAUUUCUUUUUCUGAAAUGAAACUAUUCAUAAUCUUAAUUUUGUCCAACAAGACAAAAGUUAUUGAUCAUAUCAUUUGAAGAUUCUUUUUAGCAUUAAUUUGAUGGCCUUAUACCAAAAAGCUAUUUUGUUUGGGCAAUGUUUGUUUUUGCUUUAUCAUUAAGUACUUUAUAAGUACAGUCAAUAUACUUCACAUGGGAAAAUAAAG